This is a non-coding RNA of Podarcis lilfordi (Lilford's wall lizard), 167 nucleotides long. The record is from the annotation of a GenBank genome assembly. NCBI's taxonomy places the organism in Eukaryota, Metazoa, Chordata, Lepidosauria, Squamata, Lacertidae.
GCCCUGCAAAACAAGUCGCCCAGUCAGUACCAGGGCUUGUGACUCUGAAUUUAUUUAAGGCCAGAUAUAUCUCGCCUAGUGGGAUGCGGGUGGCGCUGUGGGUAAAACCUCAGCGCCUAGGACUUGCCGAUCGCAUGGUCGGCGGUUCGAAUCCCCGCAACAGGGUG